ACGAAGGGGGCUAGCGUUGCUCGGAAUCACUGGGCGUAAAGGGCGCGUAGGCGGAUCUUUAAGUCGGGGGUGAAAGCCCAGGGCUCAACCCUGGAAUUGCCUUCGAUACUGAAGAUCUCGAGACCGGAAGAGGUAAGUGGAACUGCGAGUGUAGAGGUGAAAUUCGUAGAUAUUCGCAAGAACACCAGUGGCGAAGGCGGCUUACUGGUCCGGUUCUGACGCUGAGGCGCGAAAGCGUGGGGAGCAAACAGGA
Molecule: ribosomal RNA, 253 nt
Filed under: uncultured prokaryote
Description: partial 16S ribosomal RNA
Rfam family: Bacterial small subunit ribosomal RNA
Source: RNAcentral